AUAACUUUACCUCAACCGAGCCUGAAGCGUGUAACGGGGCCGAAAUGAAAUGUCGUGGGGAUAAGAUCGGUUAAAAUGCGAUUCCUCCUUUGAUUCUUCAUCAUUCCUACUCCUUUCUUUCGAUCCCUUCCUCUUUUGUCAUUUUCUUUCAUGGAAAAUUUAUCGCGGAAAUUUUAUAAAAUAUCCCCUUCUUAUUUCAUUCUGACUAGUUGAAAAAAAAAAAACUGAAAGAAAUAUUUGGAAUAGAAAGAAGUAUAGAUAUCAUUGGCGAGUUUGGGAAGAAGAGGUUAAUGGAGACGAGAGAUCGACGUCCCAAAUUAGCUUCCGGAGAAAGCAGUCUACUUCAAAAUUUAACAGGUUUUGUUAACAAAAAUCCAUCAACACUGAUAAUUAAUUAUUGCAACUGAAGUCGUGCUUGCAGACACCGGUCAGCAGCCAUCACUGAAAUCAAUACAUCAAGGGGCGUUCACACGGCUUACGAAAGUGAAUGAGCAGAUUUUCUACCUGUUUUAUCUAUCACAAAAUCCAAAUGAUACAGAAUAUUUGAAUUCCUUACUAACAUUUCAGAAUAUUAUCUACUAUUCAUUCAUUACAUUUGAUGGUAUAAUUUAUUACAAUUUAGCAUGAAUUUUUCAUAACUUUCAAUAAG
This is a long non-coding RNA of Chelonus insularis, 649 nucleotides long. RefSeq lists it as uncharacterized. The record is from RefSeq and is a predicted model, not a curated record. The transcript has 4 exons. Lineage: Eukaryota; Metazoa; Arthropoda; Insecta; Hymenoptera; Braconidae.